This 440-nucleotide ribosomal RNA is filed under the name uncultured bacterium. RNAcentral's name for it is "partial 16S ribosomal RNA". It matches the Rfam family "Bacterial small subunit ribosomal RNA", at positions 338 to 795 of the family's 1533-position model. The record is from RNAcentral.
CCUACGGGAGGCAGCAGUGGGGAAUAUUGCACAAUGGGGGAAACCCUGAUGCAGCGACGCCGCGUGAGUGAAGAAGUAUUUCGGUAUGUAAAGCUCUAUCAGCAGGGAAGAAAAUGACGGUACCUGAUCAAGAAGCCCCGGCUAACUACGUGCCAGCAGCCGCGGUAAUACGUAGGGGGCAAGCGUUAUCCUGAUUUACUGGGUGUAAAGGGAGCGUAGACGGCAGGACAAGUCUGGAGUGAAAUGCCGGGGCUUAAACCGGGAACUGCUUUGGAAACUGUGCAGCUAGAGUGCAGGAGAGGGAAGUGGAAUUUCGAGGGUAGCGGUGAAAUGCGUAGAUAAUAGGAGGAACACCAGAGGCGAAGGCGGCUUACUGGACUGUAACUGACGUUGAGGCUCGAAAGCGUGGGGAGCAAACAGGAUUAGAUACCCUUGUAGUC